RNAcentral lists this non-coding RNA (29 nucleotides) under Mus musculus (house mouse). Lineage: Eukaryota; Metazoa; Chordata; Mammalia; Rodentia; Muridae. The record is from RNAcentral.
UUGUCAUUUCUGAAGCUGUAGCCUGACCC